Long non-coding RNA from Hemicordylus capensis (graceful crag lizard), 591 nucleotides. RefSeq lists it as uncharacterized. Lineage: Eukaryota; Metazoa; Chordata; Lepidosauria; Squamata; Cordylidae. The record is from RefSeq and is a predicted model, not a curated record. The transcript has 4 exons.
AAGAGGUCAACAAAUCCUCCAUUUUUGGCAUGCGGCGCACAACGGGAAUGCGAGUAGUGCUAUUGGCCGGUGCCUGCCCCGCUUUUCGGCGAGCUAGGCGGGCACAAAGUGAUAGCAGCGGCCGAGGCGGCCCGGUGGAGCAGGAGGCACCUUGCGGGGAGAAGAUUACAGAGACAGAGAGAUGCUUCAGAUGACUGACUGACUGACUACACAGAUGGUGUUGGCACAAUCUAAGCUUCCUUAAUGAAAGACUGCUGGCAGGAGAUGGACUAUAUCUCAUGAGGACUGAGAAAAACAUUUGGCAGAAGCCGGAUGAACCUGAUCAAGAGCAUUUUUAAACUAAACACUGUUUACUCCUACCAAAACCCCCAAGGUGAAAUAUGAAUUGACAGAAUCUCUUUUCCCAGCUGGAAGGAUUUCUCCAUCACCUCCUGCUCCAGAUGUCAGAAUCCCUUCAUCACUAUUACGGCCAUCAAAUUUUGGACUGCAGACUUAAUUUUCAAUCUUGCUCUGAACACACACCUCACAGUCACUAUAAGACACUUGUAUGCAUCUCUUCAUCCAAUAAAAGAUUCUGAUUUGCAUGGCUAA